GGUCAAGCUACAAAGAGCGCAAGGGGAAUGCCUUGGCACUGGGAGCCGAUGAAGGACGCGACUAACUGCGAUAAGCUAUGGGGAGCCGUAAGUGGGCAUUGAUCCAUAGAUUUCCGAAUGGAGCAAUCCGGCUGGAGUCAUGUCCAGUCAUCAUACACUGAAUUCAUAGGUGUAUGAGGGGAACCGCCUGAACUGAAACAUCUAAGUAGGGCGAGGAAAAGACAUCAAUUGAGAUUCCGCUAGUAGUGGCGAGCGAACGCGGAAGAGGCCAAACCGGGGGUAGCAAUACUCCCGGGGUUCGGACAGCAAUGUAGACGCUGGAAUUUAGCAGAAUGGCAUGGGAAGGCCAACAAGAUAGUGUGAGAGUCACGUAUGCGAAAAAGGAAAGCGCUUAGCUGUA
Molecule: ribosomal RNA, 400 nt
Filed under: Caproiciproducens faecalis
Lineage: Bacteria; Bacillati; Bacillota; Clostridia; Eubacteriales; Acutalibacteraceae
Description: partial 23S ribosomal RNA
Rfam family: Bacterial large subunit ribosomal RNA
Source: RNAcentral